Molecule: long non-coding RNA, 1822 nt
Filed under: Nicotiana benthamiana
Lineage: Eukaryota; Viridiplantae; Streptophyta; Magnoliopsida; Solanales; Solanaceae
Description: long non-coding RNA (NBEN_LNC023022)
Source: RNAcentral
UCAAAUCCUCUCAUCUUCUCUCUUCUAUCAACCUAACCCUAGACUCUGUCAAUCGCCUCCCUUCUCCGGUCAUCUCCGGCGACCACCUUUCAACCCCAAGCCUCUAGUGGUUUCCCCCUCGCCUUGCUCAUCAUCUUUGAGGCCUUCAAGGGUCAUGGGCCAUGCUGAUUUGGAUCUGCGGUUUCUGUUUCUGUUGUUCAUGGCUUCUUCGGCGGGAAAAAUCACACCAUAUAUAUUACGAUCUUUGAAGUUUAUAACAGGUUUUUCCGUUUCUGCUUAGGUUUCCUUUGAAACCCUAACUCUCGUUUGAAUCUCUUGGAUUCGUGCUAUUUUUAACACUUUAAGUCUAUUUCUUUCUAUAUUUUACAUUAUUCUUAAAUUUUUUCUGAAAAAUCCUCAACUUUAAACUGUUUUACUUUCUGUAAGAUUCGGGUUCCGCAGAGUUUCUUCUACACUUGUUUUAACCGACUUUUUCUUUAUGUUUAAACCUCUUUCAUCGCAUAUCUUGGCUGAUUAUGUGUUCUUAAUGCCUUUUCAACCUGACUCUAUUAAAAGCCCUAGUUUCUUAUAUCUUCUUUAUUUUGUUCUGUGUGUUAUCAUGACUACUUGAUUUUGUUAAGUUUUUGUUGGUUACCAUGCUUCGAAUAGGUUUUCUACUGAGUCUUUAGCCUACUUGUAUCACCUUUGUAUGAUUGUUAUUCAUAUUGAUUUGUUCAUCUCUUGCUUCUUUCUGUUGAUAUGGCUGACCUUGCAUGUUUGUUGUGCCUGUUCGUUUUUCUCUAUUUAUAUGUUGCAAUAUAGAUUCGUGACCCUCUCUUGAUUUGAUUCUGAUUUCCUUACUAAUGGUUUGAUUAAAAGAUUUCCUUUUAAAGCCCUUAAACUUUUACCUUGUCUGUUUAAGUUGACUGAUUACAUUACCUUAUUUGCUAUGAGACUUCAUUUUUUUACUGAGUCGUGUCCUUAAUUGAGGUUUUCUAAAUUUAGUCCUAGUUGACUACUCUAUGCUUACUCAACCUUGAUCCCUUCCUUAUUUAGUCAUGUACUGAUUUCUCUUCUUGCCUUAUAUGAUACUGAAUCUUCCCAUUUGAUUUGAUUCCCUUAACUUAAGGGAGUACUUCCUUGAUUUUUUAACUGAUUGAUUCUGAGUUCCUCAAUUAUUAUGCUACUAUAAUUCUUACCUUGUAUUACUACCUAUUUUCAACUAUAAGUACUCUAAGUCUUUCAUUAACAUACACACGAACACUUGGGGUUCAGUAACUAUCUCUCUUACUAAAAAAUCUCUGCUUUCUCUUGUGCUAUUUGCCACUGUUAGCCGGCUGCAAGCCAACGCUAAUCAUUUGUGCUCUCUUGUUCUCUCAUUCUGCUUAUUUUUCUCUUCACUAGUAUGUCCUAGUUUCAAUUUUAAGUUUCAACAACAACAUGCUUCUCUUAUUGUUUCAGUUUUUCCUAUUUCUAGUUUGUUUCUACUUGUGGUUCUGUUGUGAAACUUGUAGCUAAAAGUACAUUACCCGUAUGAUAUUAUGUCUUCCCCUUCCUUUAGAUUAGUCCAUUCCCCUUAAUGUGUGUUUCUAAGCAUGCCUUACCAAUAUUCUUUUACCCAAUGUUUACUUACAAUCUUAUGAGUCCCCAAACCCCUAUCACCCCUCUAUGUGCUUGUGAACUUCAUGACUGUUUUGUGACUAUGCAGUAUCAGCUGUUUUUGAGCAUGUCUAAACUAGUCCUAAGACCUUUGCUGGGUUACAUAUGGCCAGCCAAAUGUUCUAUGUGUCCCAAACCCCUGACCCAUGUGUGACCACUGAAUUCAUUUACUUCUGUAAACUAG